GCAAGUCGUACGAGAAAGUCUUUUCGGAGGCGAUUAAAGUGGCGCACGGGUGAGUAACGCGUAGGUGACAUACCUUGAGAUGGGGGACAACAGAGAGAAAUUUCUGCUAAUACCGCAUAUGUAGGGGAACUUUGGAUAGUUCCUUAUAAAGAUGGCCUCUCCUUGGAAGCUAUUGUCUCAAGAAUGGCCUGCGUACCAUUAGCUUGUUGGUGGGGUAAUGGCCUACCAAGGCAGUGAUGGUUAACCGGUCUGAGAGGAUGAUC
RNAcentral lists this ribosomal RNA (263 nucleotides) under uncultured bacterium. Its description in RNAcentral is "partial 16S ribosomal RNA". It matches the Rfam family "Bacterial small subunit ribosomal RNA", at positions 57 to 305 of the family's 1533-position model. The record is from RNAcentral.